This 891-nucleotide long non-coding RNA is filed under the name Mus spicilegus (steppe mouse). Its description in RNAcentral is "lncRNA (ENSMSIG00000014898.1)". Lineage: Eukaryota; Metazoa; Chordata; Mammalia; Rodentia; Muridae. The record is from RNAcentral.
AUCCUCUCUAAAAUCCUACUGACAAUAUAAGAAGAUUCAUAAAAUGUCCACAGAAAUCAGAGCAGGUGUCAUUCGGACUAAGCUGGCUCUAUUUCUCACUAUGAUUAACCAGCUCGUAAUGACAACAUUUCUUAUCUUACAACUGUGGCAUGAAGAGGGAGCUGUAGCUCUUCUGAGACACAAUUCUGCACACCCCAGCUUAUCCACGCUCUGCGAUCUCGUGUCUGUUUCUCUCUCUCUCUCUCUCUCUCUCUCUCUCUCUCUCUCUCUCUCUCUCUCUCUCUCUCUCUCUCUCUCUCUCUCAUCAUUUUAACCAUUGUACCAGCUCCAUUUAAAUGUAUCUGCGGAGGAUCUGGUCAAGUGGAGAUAAUCCAUGCAAAUCAGAAACUGGUUGUCAGUGUGUGGUUCCCGGAGAGGACUCAGCCUGAGGAGGUCACUCGUUCACAGCCGCUCCUCCCAUUCUAUCUCUCCCCUUAUUGCAGAACUGCUGUAUGUAUACAGUAGCAGAAAGGACUCAAUUGACUUCAACUGCUGCCUGGCUUUGCUUACAACUUUUUCUUAUAAAGGAACUUACCUCCAUCUGUCUCUUGAAGGUGGCUGGCUACUUCCUCUAAACUCCACAACUCAUUCGAAAGACUAUGGAGCCUACAUAGUUUCUAAAGACAAACGAUGAAUUUCAAAGGUAAAAUUGUGUUCCUGGGUAGAGAUGAAAACGUGAGUCGGUGCAUGUGUGGCUUCUUGUUAUCUGCUCUGUUGCUGCCAGCUGGCUGCCUACCUGUCUCUGUGUUGGACAAAAGAAUUCUUGGGAUGGGAGAGCACUCCUGCUUUGGAAUGUGAGUAGACAUCACAAAUCACAGUUAAGGAGAGAUGAAUUAGAACUGCAUGCAGCAA